GAUGAACGCUAGCGGCAGGCUUAACACAUGCAAGUCGAGGGGCAACGAGAGUAGCAAUACUUGUCGGCGACCGGCGCAAGGGUGCGUAACACGUGAGCAACAUACCCAAAUCAGGAGGAUAACCGGAGGAAACUCUGCCUAAUACUCCAUAAUAUCAUCUUAUGGCAUCAUGAAAUGAUAAAAGAUUUAUCGGAUUCGGAUUGGCUCGCGGGACAUUAGCUCGUUGGUGAGGUAACGGCUCACCAAGGCCACGAUGUCUAGGGGUUCUGAGAGGAAGGUCCCCCACACUGGAACUGAGACACGGUCCAGACUCCUACGGGAGGCAGCAGUGAGGAAUAUUGGACAAUGGUCGGAAGACUGAUCCAGCCAUGCCGCGUGAAGGUUACUGUCCUAUGGAUAUUAAACUUCUUUUGAUGAGAGCAAUAAGGUGCACGCGUGCACCGAUGAGAGUAUCAUACGAAUAAGCAUC
Molecule: ribosomal RNA, 469 nt
Filed under: uncultured bacterium
Lineage: Bacteria
Description: bacterial SSU rRNA
Rfam family: Bacterial small subunit ribosomal RNA
Source: RNAcentral